RNAcentral lists this transfer RNA (86 nucleotides) under Chloroflexota bacterium. Its description in RNAcentral is "Chloroflexi bacterium tRNA-Tyr". It matches the Rfam family "tRNA". Rfam says of the family: Transfer RNA (tRNA) molecules are approximately 80 nucleotides in length. Their secondary structure includes four short double-helical elements and three loops (D, anti-codon, and T loops). Lineage: Bacteria; Bacillati; Chloroflexota. RNAcentral also lists the same sequence under 1 other name. The record is from RNAcentral.
GCAGGGGUGGGAGAGUGGUUAAUUCCAGCGGACUGUAAAUCCGCCGCCGCAAGGCUACGCAGGUUCGAAUCCUGCCCCCUGCACCA